AUUUUUUGAUUUUCACAAACUCAGAAGAUGAUGAGGCAUCAUCAACCCCAAGUUCCACACCCCAGGGACAGAGAAUGGGAGCGGAGCCCGGGCCUCAGCCACUGAGACGCUCCCAGCGGAUAAGCCCGCAAGGGCAGCCUGUGUACAGAGGACAAGACGGACCUGCACCCAAAAAAAAAAGAAAUUCGAAAAGAAAAGCUAGAGAUGAGGAAAGU
Dreissena polymorpha is the source of this 215-nucleotide long non-coding RNA. RefSeq lists it as uncharacterized. Lineage: Eukaryota; Metazoa; Mollusca; Bivalvia; Myida; Dreissenidae. The transcript has 3 exons. The record is from RefSeq and is a predicted model, not a curated record.